RNAcentral lists this transfer RNA (66 nucleotides) under Ampulex compressa. RNAcentral describes it as "tRNA-Val". Lineage: Eukaryota; Metazoa; Arthropoda; Insecta; Hymenoptera; Ampulicidae. The record is from RNAcentral.
UUUUUAAAAAAUUAUUAUUAUAAAUAUUUUUCUUCUCAUUAAAUAUAAAAAUUACAUUCAAAACAA